GACGAACGCUGGCGGCGUGCUUAACACAUGCAAGUGGAGCGACGAACCAGGGCUUGCCCUGGGGCAGAGCCGCGAACGGGUGAGUAACACGUGGGUAACGUGCCCCGAUGACUGGGACAACCCGGGGAAACCCGGGCUAAUACCGGAUGUGCCCCCUCACAUCAGUGAGGUGUGUAAAGGAAGCUUCGGCCUCCGCAUCGGGAUCGGCCCGCGGCCCAUUAGCUUGUUGGUGAGGUAACGGCUCACCAAGGCUGCGAUGGGUAGCUGGUCUGAGAGGACGAUCAGCCACACUGGGACUGAGACACGGCCCAGACUCCUGCGGGAGGCAGCAGUGGGGAAUCUUGCGCAAUGCGCGAAAGCGUGACGCAGCAACGCCGCGUGGGGGAAGACGGCCUUCGGGUUGUAAACCCCUUUCAGUUGGGACGAAGGUCGGGCGGUUAACAGCCGUUCCGGCUGACGGUACCUUCACAAGAAGCCCCGGCUAACUACGUG
This 492-nucleotide ribosomal RNA is filed under the name uncultured bacterium. RNAcentral's name for it is "partial 16S ribosomal RNA". It matches the Rfam family "Bacterial small subunit ribosomal RNA", at positions 28 to 507 of the family's 1533-position model. The record is from RNAcentral.